This 1407-nucleotide long non-coding RNA is filed under the name Sus scrofa (pig). Its description in RNAcentral is "lncRNA (ENSSSCG00045028380.1)". The record is from RNAcentral. Lineage: Eukaryota; Metazoa; Chordata; Mammalia; Artiodactyla; Suidae.
GGGCGAGCGGCCGGCGGUGGGCGACGAGGCGGCGCUGCUGCGGCCGCUCAGGCUCGGCCCGUCGGGCGAGCAGCCGGCGCCCCCUUCCUCGUACAGGCCCAGGGGGUCGCUGGGGUCGGCGCCAGCGCCCACGCCGCCGACCGGCGAGGACGACGCGCCCAGGCCGCCGAACAGGACAGUUCUACGCAUUUACUUGGCAAACAAAGAAGCAGGAGGCACUGUGUGGGGCUGAUUCCUCAAGAGGAAGGUAAGCUCCCGUUUUUAUUCACCAGGGCACCCAGCACAAUAUAGAUGUGACACAUGGAAUCCCCAAAACUUCAGUUCCAAGGUGUCUUGUUCCCCAAAACUCCGUCCAGUGGCCGGCCAAGGAACGAGUGUGUUUUGUGUUUUCCCUUUCUCUCCAUAUUUAAGGCAGUUACCAAAUUCACAUUUGUUGUUGUUGUUGUUGUUGUUGUUUUGACAAGCCCCUCUCUGGGAUUCAAGGUUAUCUGAACACGAUUCCCAUUAUCACUUCAGGAUUCCUCUGUCCUCAUAUUAUCUAGCCCUCCAUGGAAUUGUUUUUCAGUUGCAUACAACUCUGGCCCAACUCCCUGUUCAUCUUUCACUGUUAUCAGUUAUAAUAUUCAAUGCUCCUGAGACAAUUCAUUUCUUUACAGUUAGCCAAAAUAAGAGAGAGAGAGAGACAGAGAGAGGCAGAAAAAGGAAAGAAGGUGAGCAGGAAGGAAGGGAGGAGGGAAAGAAACGGGGCUGUGAAUAUAGUCAACUGGAAAAAUUAAAAUGUUGGUUCUUAAAGUUUGUCUUGCCUUGUUAUUUUUAUUUUUAUAGAUUUUAUUCUACUUUCUGUUUCCGGCCUGGACCCAGAGUAAAGGAGUUACUCAAGUCCUUUACAAGCAUGAACGCAGGGCCAUCUAAAUCUAAGAUUAUUCCUCAAAUUUGAAUUUAGCAGAAAACCACGAAUGAGGAGUGGGCAGCUGAGGGGACCGCAGACUCCAUUAUUUCAAAUGGAAAAAAAGAGAUGAGAAAAAGUUCUGUCUAGAUGAGCAGUCCUCCUGAUCUUUUGACAGUGAUUCUGCAUUGUGUGUCUAAUUUUUAAAAGUUAAAUGGGGCAUUCGAAUUUUGUAUUUAAAAAUGUUGUGGGUUCCCAUUGUGGCACAGCGAUAAUGAACCUGACUAGUUUCCGCAAGGAUGUGGGUUCAAUCCCUGGCCCCGCUCAGUGGGUUAAGGACCAGUGUAUCUGUGAGCUGUGGUUUAGGUCGCAGACGCGGCUUAGAUCCAGUGUUGCUAUGACUGUGACAUAGGCUGGCGGCUGUAGUUCCAAUUGGACCCCUAGCCUGGAACCCCUACCCUAGCUCCAACUGGACUUCCAAAUGCCAUGGCUACAACCCUAAAAAGACAAAAAAAAAAAAA